This 508-nucleotide ribosomal RNA is filed under the name uncultured bacterium. RNAcentral describes it as "bacterial SSU rRNA". It matches the Rfam family "Bacterial small subunit ribosomal RNA", at positions 38 to 518 of the family's 1533-position model. The record is from RNAcentral.
GGCGGCGUGCCUAAUACAUGCAAGUCGAAUGGUCUUUCUAUGGAAGCUUGCUUCCACUGAGAAGAUAGUGGCGAACGGGUGAGUAACACGUGGGUAACCUGCCCAUAAGAGGGGGGAUAACAUCCGGAAACGGGUGCUAAUACCGCAUAGUUUUCUUGAUCGCAUGAUUGAGAAAGGAAAGACGGCCUUUGUGCUGUCGCUUAUGGAUGGACCCGCGGCGUAUUAGUUAGUUGGUGAGGUAACGGCUCACCAAGACGAUGAUACGUAGCCGACCUGAGAGGGUGAUCGGCCACAUUGGGACUGAGACACGGCCCAAACUCCUACGGGAGGCAGCAGUAGGGAAUCUUCCGCAAUGGACGAAAGUCUGACGGAGCAACGCCGCGUGAGUGAAGAAAGGUUUUCGGAUCGUAAAACUCUGUUGUCAGAGAAGAACAAGUUGGAGAGUAACUGCUCCAGCCUUGACGGUAUCUGACCAGAAAGCCACGGCUAACUACGUGCCAGCCGCCGC